Molecule: ribosomal RNA, 433 nt
Filed under: uncultured bacterium
Lineage: Bacteria
Description: partial 16S ribosomal RNA
Rfam family: Bacterial small subunit ribosomal RNA
Source: RNAcentral
AACGAACGCUGGCGGCAGGCCUAACACAUGCAAGUCGAGCGCGCCCUUCGGGGUGAGCGGCGGACGGGUGAGUAACGCGUGGGAACGUGCCCUUUUCUACGGAAUAGCCUCGGGAAACUGAGAGUAAUACCGUAUACGCCCCUUGGGGGAAAGAUUUAUCGGAAAAGGAUCGGCCCGCGUUGGAUUAGGUAGUUGGUGGGGUAAUGGCCUACCAAGCCGACGAUCCAUAGCUGGUUUGAGAGGAUGAUCAGCCACACUGGGACUGAGACACGGCCCAGACUCCUACGGGAGGCAGCAGUGGGGAAUCUUAGACAAUGGGGGCAACCCUGAUCUAGCCAUGCCGCGUGAGUGAUGAAGGCCUUAGGGUUGUAAAGCUCUUUCAGCUGGGAAGAUAAUGACGGUACCAGCAGAAGAAGCCCCGGCUAACUCCGUG